Long non-coding RNA from Leopardus geoffroyi (Geoffroy's cat), 523 nucleotides. RefSeq lists it as uncharacterized. The transcript is spliced from 2 exons. The record is from RefSeq and is a predicted model, not a curated record. Lineage: Eukaryota; Metazoa; Chordata; Mammalia; Carnivora; Felidae.
UUCCAAACAAAAAGCAGGAGUCUGGUACGCCGCUGGGAACUCAGUACAGAUCUGUAGAGUGAUUGGGUCCCCGUUCAUCAGGUUGUGCCUUCACGUUAUAUACUGUUUUGAAAUCAAUAACGGACGUGUGUGAUUUGGAGGUAAAUAAAUGCAUCAUUUGGUCAUAGGCUGCCAGCUCCUGAGAAGCCACAUCUGGACUAAAGCAGAGGAAGACCCAUCACCUAGAAGUACUCGGAGACUGAAGUGCCUCCUGUUGGAUCCUUCAGUCACUUUGUCCGCCAGCACGGAUGUUUCUCUUUCUUGGUAUGAUGAUCAGGGAUCCGAAAGGCUAGGGAGGCACCGUUUGUUCCCGGCGGAAUGGCAGGCUUUGCAGCAAUUGUUGCGUAUGGACCAUAUCAAUUGAAGAGCAGGGGAGAUACUAGAAGGUCUGUUCAGCUGAUCCACGUGCGCGUGGCAGCCCAAGGCUUUGUCGUGGGAGCAAUGACUCUGGGUAUGGGCUAUUCCAUGUGUGAGGAAUUCUGGG